Molecule: ribosomal RNA, 492 nt
Filed under: uncultured bacterium
Lineage: Bacteria
Description: partial 16S ribosomal RNA
Rfam family: Bacterial small subunit ribosomal RNA
Source: RNAcentral
AGUGAACGCUGGCGGUAGGCCUAACACAUGCAAGUCGAACGGCAGCACAGUAAGAGCUUGCUCUUACGGGUGGCGAGUGGCGGACGGGUGAGGAAUACAUCGGAAUCUACUUUUUCGUGGGGGAUAACGUAGGGAAACUUACGCUAAUACCGCAUACGACCUACGGGUGAAAGCAGGGGAACUUCGGACCUUGCGCGAUUGAAUGAGCCGAUGUCGGAUUAGCUAGUUGGCGGGGUAAAGGCCCACCAAGGCGACGAUCCGUAGCUGGUCUGAGAGGAUGAUCAGCCACACUGGAACUGAGACACGGUCCAGACUCCUACGGGAGGCAGCAGUGGGGAAUAUUGGACAAUGGGCGCAAGCCUGAUCCAGCCAUACCGCGUGGGUGAAGAAGGCCUUCGGGUUGUAAAGCCCCUUUGUUGGGAAAGAAAAGCAGCAGGUUAAUACCCCGCUGUUCUGACGGUACCCAAAGAAUAAGCACCGGCUAACUUCGUG